RNAcentral lists this unclassified non-coding RNA (249 nucleotides) under Glomus sp. RNAcentral describes it as "partial contains 5.8S ribosomal RNA and internal transcribed spacer 2". The stretch from base 1 to 65 matches the Rfam family "5.8S ribosomal RNA", at positions 84 to 154 of the family's 154-position model. The record is from RNAcentral. Lineage: Eukaryota; Fungi; Glomeromycota; Glomeromycetes; Glomerales; Glomeraceae.
GUGAAUCAUCAAAUCUUUGAACGCAAAUUGCACUCUCUUCGGAGAGUAUGCCUGUUUGAGGGUCAGCCUAAAAAAAAUCGACAUCGUUGCUGUUUUGCGGUGGCGUUUGUCGGAAAUUGGGUUAUAUUAAAUCUUUGGUUUAAGUGACUUAAAAUUUUCUUUAAGAUUUUAUGAACGUUUUCAAGAUUUAUUUCUUUAUAUGUUUAGGGUAUCGAUUUUAUCGAAGGGGUAGUUAUAUCGGGUUUUGGU